UACGAAGGGGGCUAGCGUUGUUCGGAAUCACUGGGCGUAAAGCGCACGUAGGCGGAUUUGUAAGUCAGGGGUGAAAUCCCGGGGCUCAACCUCGGAACUGCCUUUGAUACUGCAAGUCUUGAGUUCGGGAGAGGUGAGUGGAAUUCCUCGUGUAGAGGUGAAAUUCGUAGAUAUUAGGAAGAACACCAGUGGCGAAGGCGGCUCACUGGCCCGAUACUGACGCUGUGGUGCGAAAGCGUGGGGAGCAAACAGG
Molecule: ribosomal RNA, 253 nt
Filed under: uncultured bacterium
Lineage: Bacteria
Description: partial 16S ribosomal RNA
Rfam family: Bacterial small subunit ribosomal RNA
Source: RNAcentral